Long non-coding RNA from Engraulis encrasicolus (European anchovy), 473 nucleotides. RefSeq lists it as uncharacterized. The transcript has 5 exons. The record is from RefSeq and is a predicted model, not a curated record. NCBI's taxonomy places the organism in Eukaryota, Metazoa, Chordata, Actinopteri, Clupeiformes, Engraulidae.
UCACGGACUGCAUUCCCAUGUACUGGGUUUAGCUGGACCGUAUUGGACUGGAGGUGACAGGAUAUUUUGUACCUGCUUCGGACUGGUUCUGUCAUUAACCUACUGAGCUGGUGCUUCUGUCCCAGGCAUCUCCAUCGCAUCGCUCCUAGGCAUCUGAAAGUGUACCGUUGCGCACAGAUCAUGCUGGUAACGAGUUAUUCAAAGGGUCUACCAAUCAUGGCAAAAACAGAAAUCCAGCUCCUCAGCCCAGGCAGUGCCAACAACCCAGCUGAUCCAGGAGCUGCAGCGAGGGGUAGUGAUGACACUCCGGGCACCCCGACUGCCCUCUUCAACCAUUCCCAUGGAAUUCAUCCUGUCCAGCCUCAGUCAGAUAAUCCAGCCCUCCCCCUCCUACUUCCAGAGACUAAUUUGCAGAUUCUAAUGGGUAUGUGCUAAGGAGAUGAUGAGUGAACACGCUGCCAGUUUGGUUGCAG